AGUUUAGGGUUUAGGGUUUAAAGUUUAGGGUUUAGGGUUUAGACUUUAGGGUUUAGGGUUUAGAGCUGAGGAAUGAAUUUUGGGGAUAGAAUUUCAAAUUUUAAAAAAUAAAAAAAAUUAAAAUUUUCAAAAUAAAAAAUGUUUUUUUGGUUAUUUUAGUUUUUGAGGUCUAAUUUUAUGAUAAAAACUUAAAAAUGUCUAUCUGAGAGAAUUAACCUUAAGAAUAUUGUGUGAUCAAAGUUUUCAUUUUUUUUCAGGAUAUUGACAGGUUGAACAUAUACAACAUUCUUGAGCCAUGUUACCAUGGAACAUCCCUAUCCGCAUUUGACAUCAAAUCGCUGCCUUCAACUCUUCUGCAGUUAGGCAAAACCGAAAAACCUUUGGCUGUAAGAAAAAGAAUGUUUGGUCGGGCGUGGCCUGUUCGUGCGCCUAUUCUUCCAGGCAUUGUUCCUAGCUGGUCUCAACUCCUUGCUGACGUUUCUGUUCCUUGCAUCGUAAGUAAACAAGAAAAAAAAUAGUGGCUCUCUCUCUCUCUCUCUACUUCAUAGUAAAAGAUGAAACAGUCUACGUUUUAUAUUUGCAGGAUGAUAGAGUUGCAACAGCUUGGCUAAACGAUCCAGCGAUUAGGAAAGCUAUUCAUGCUAAAGAGGUCUCAAACUCUGUUUUGAUCUUAUUGCUAUAUUAUAUUAAGAAAAUAUUACUGAUGUGCUUGAAAAUAUUACAGGAGAGCGAGAUAGGAAGAUGGGUACUCUGCACUGGUAAGCUAUCGUUCCAUCACGAUGCAGGAAGUAUGAUCAGCUUCCAUAGAAACCUCACUCUAAGUGGAUAUAGAGCUCUCAUUUACAGGUACUUCAAACAAAACUUAUAACAAUGAUUCUGACGCCUGUAGUUUCGAAAAUAAUGAAUCAAGUUUUGAUUUGAAGCGGUGAUCACGAUAUGUGUGUUCCAUUUACUGGCUCUGAAGCUUGGACACAUUCUCUUGGAUACAAGGUGAUUGAUGAAUGGAGGGCAUGGAUAUCAAAUGACCAAGUCGCAGGGUAAACUUUUCUUUGUGUAGUAAUAUUUUCUGGAGCUCAAAAUGUUUUCUACAAUUGUUGCAUAUUUUUUUGUGCAGGUAUACCGAAGGAUAUGCAAACAAUCUAACAUUUUUAACCAUAAAGGCACUGAAUCACAAUUCUCUACUGAAAUUGGAAAAAUGGUUGCCAAGUCUAUAUUCGUAUGAUGUUAUUAUCUUUGUGUUGGUAAUUUCAGGGUGCAGGACAUACAGUUCCUGAGUACAAACCGCGGGAGGCUUUGGAUUUCUAUAGCCGAUUUCUAGCAGGAAGCAAGAUUUAAGAGAGAUCUCUAUUGAAAAAUAAGUACAGAGCAUCAUAUCGUGUAUUGACUCGUUUAAAUAAAAAAAAGGAGCAUGUGCCAUUUAGCUUGUGAAUGGUUGAUUCUUCAUUCUUCAUGAUAAAACACCAUGCAUACCUCUUCUUCCAGUAAAAUGCUUGCCGUUUCUUACUUCAACAGAUGGGCUCUUUGCCUUUCAGAAAAAGUCUACAUAUUUACAAGAAUGCUCCUGAUAAGUUUUUGCCUAGAAUAUAUAUAUGUUGUGCCAUUGUUUACACAAAAACACACACACACGGAAACUCAGAAUAGGUUUUUAGCUUAAGGUUUUGGUGAGAAGCUCUAAGAACUCUUUCAGAGUAUUGUAUUGGAACUCGAGUUUUUCUAUCUCUAUCCAAUUAUGAAAUUCAUUCAGUUUAUCUCAAUGUCUUGUUUGAUUAUGUCUAAGUAAAUACCUUUUUAGACUUUUGGUUUAUAUAGUUAUGAGGAAUUAUUGAUAUUAGAACUGCUAAGGUGAUAAAUUGACAUCAUUCACAGAGUUAGGACUUAUUGCUUGCAUUCUAGAGUAGCUAACUAGGAUCAUGAUUCAGGAGUUGACAACUAUGAGAGUAGGCUCAUACCUGAUAGUAAUUCUGUUGAGCUAAGUUAUUAGGCGCAUGCGAGCCGCUGCUUUGGAAGCUGAGAACGCUGCAGCUAAUGUAGCAAACGCUGAGGCUGCUCGACCUAGAACGUUGGCUGACUACACUGCUACGAAAAACACUAUCGGAUUUCAAAGUAGCACGAUUUAAUUCAAAAAUCACACCCAAUUGAGCCCGUCUAGCAUAUAUUUUCACAGGUGCGGGAUCACUAUAACUCACUCCAUUGAGUUCACCACCAUAAAACUCGACAGUUACACCUACUUGUUCGACACUAUAUUUAGAUUCCGCCCUUCUAAACGGGACGUCUGCUCUAACAAUUCUGUCUCCGUCUACCAAAACAACCGAAAAUGUUUCAAAAGAAGUAGGCAUACGGCGUACAAAAAGUUCACGCCCUUCUUUAUUUCUAAAGACGAGGUGUUCUAACCAUCCAACAGCUAUUCUAUCCCCAUUGUCCAUUGAACCUGCUCGGAAUAAUCCCCCUUUUGCUGGAUUAUUACCAAUAUAAUCAUAAAAAGCUAAUUUUUCACGAACCAAGCUUCUGAUACACUUUGAUUUUCAGCUAGUCCAACACUAACUCUUCGAUAUAUUUCUUGUUGAAAGUAUCCCUGAUCCCAUUGAUAACGAGUAGGACCAAAUAAUUCGAUGGGAGUAGUUGCAGAACCAUACCACAUAGUUCCAGCAACAAUAAAAGCUGCAAAAAAGACAGCAGCAAUACUACUGGAAAUGACAGUUUCAAUAUUUUCCAUACGUAAUCCUUUGUAUAGACGUUGAGGUGGACGAACACUAAGAUGGAAUAAGCCCGCUAAUAUACCCAACGUCCAUGCUGCAAUAUGAUGAGAGGCUAUUCCUCCCGGAACAAAAGGGUCAAAACCCUCCACACCCCACGCCGGAUUUACAGGUUGGACCUUUCCGGUUAGUUCAUAAGGGUCGGAUACCCAUAUUCCAGGACCAUAUAAUCCUGUUACAUGAAAUGCGCCAAAACCAAAGCAAGCCACUCCUGAAAGAAAUAAAUGAAUUCCAAAAAUCUUGGUCAAAUCCAAAGAAGGUUUUCCUGUACGUUCAUAACAAAAAAAUUCUAGAUCCCAAUAUACCCAAUGCCAAAUAGCUGCCAAGAAGCACAAGCCAGAAAACACUAUAUGUGCUCCGGCUACCCCUUCGUAACUCCAAAGACCCGGAUUCGUUAUAGUCUCUCCUGUAAUAUUCCAACCUGCCCAUGAAUUGCUUAUUCCUAAAUGAGUCAUGAAAGGUAUAACGAACAUACCUUGUCUCCACAUUGGAUCAAGAACAGGGUCGGAGAGAUCAAAAACAGCUAAUUCAUAUAGAUCCAUGGAACCGGCCCAACCAGCAACCAGAGCAGUAUGCAUUAUAUGAACCGAAAGCAAACGACCGGGAUCAUUCAAUACAACAGUAUGAACACGAUACCAAGGCAAACCCAUGGAUAUACCCCUUUAUCAAUGAAAAAUAGACACAAUGUAACUUUGUUGCAUUGGAAAAAACUAUGUUACGGACCCCCCCUUUUUAGGUAAUUAUUUUGGAGAAAUGAUUAAUAUUUGUUCUAUUCUGUUAGUAAUAAUGGAACAAUUCGAUUCAUAGGAAAAAAGGGAAGCGGAUCUAUUCUAUAUCCGAUAAGUACCAAUACGCAAUGGGGGUGAAUCCUAUUUUAUAUGAACCAAGAUAGCUAUUGUUGUUCAUCAUUCAGAAGCCCGUUCCUAAAAAGUUUCCUUUAAUUUUUAUUCAUUCUCUCUUACUUUACUUUUAUUUUAUAUUUUAUUUUAGCUUAUUCAACUUCUGUAUUAAAUAUGAUUAAUAUAAAUAUGAUUAAUAUUAAUAAAGUAGGAAAAAAGGAUAAUAUGAUUAAAAAAAAGGAAACCCCAAUCUUACGUUUCCACAUCAAAGUGAAAUAGAGAACAUCAUUCUCUUUUUUUUUUUCAUUUCAUGCCCAUUGGCGUUCCAAAAGUACCUUUUCGAAGUUCUGGAGAAGGAGAUACAUCUUGGGUUGACAUAUAGUGCGACUUGUCAGAUAUAUUGGGCUAUAUGGGAUUUCCCCAUUUUCUCCCUCGAUCGAGAUAUCCUCUGUUUCGCUCAAAAAGAUUGAUUGAAUUAUCCAAAAUUUGUAACGCGAAGCGCAAAAAAUUAAUUAUAAUUAAAUGCAAGGAGUAUUUAGAUUGAUAUUAGAUUAUCAAAUUUUUUUUAUGGUUUACGUGAUCGGACUAAUAAAAUUAAGUAUCCAGGCUCCGUUUAGCAAAAAUCCAAUUGAUAAUUAAUAUAUAAUAUUUUUAUAAUUACUACUUAAUAUGAUAUGAAUAUGAUAUCAAAUUAUGAUAAAAAUUCUAUUAAAAAAUACAAAAAAUACAAAAAAUUGAAACAUGGUGAUCUAAAACUGUUGAUCAAAUAAAAUAAUAUAAUUAAAAAUUUGUUGACUAUUUGACAGAAGACAUGUGAAAGAAAUGAAUUGAAAAAAAGAAGGAGUAGUAAAAAAACACGGCAUUUGGUUCAUUUGUCCUAUAUGUGCAAAUCAAAAUUGGGCAAAUUUUUCCUUUUACUCGGAGUAGAGCAUAAACCUAAAAAAACGGAAUAAAAAAAGGAAGAAGCCCAUUUAGGAACAAGAAAAAACCAUCCCCAUUUCAACUGAAUCUCGAUGAAAAAAAAUAUCAAUGAAUCAAGUUAGUCUGACAGGCCUAAUCAAUCGUUUUAUUAUUUUAUUAUUAGGAUUAUAAUAUCUAAUAAAUAAAAGGGGCCAAAACUUAUUUAUUUUUUCUUUUACUUUUAAAAGGGAAGCAAGCCCUUCCCUUAUUAAGUUAGAAAGAAAAGCCUUCUCUGAAAAAAGGGGGGUUGGAAUCGACACAUUGAUUUUUUAACAAUUUUUGUUGAACCGUAUGCAUCAAAAGGUGUCUGUACGGCUCCUAAGGAAUAAAAUUUUAUCCUAAUCAACCGACUUUAUCGAGAAAUAUUGUUUUUUUAGGCCAAGAGGUUGAUACCAAAAUCUCGAAUCAACUUAUUAGUCUUAUGAUAUAUCUCAGUAUAGAAAAGGAUACCAAAGAUCUUUAUUUGUUUAUAAACUCUCCUGGUGGAUCGGUAAUAUCUGGAAUGGCUAUUUAUGAUACUAUGCAAUUUGUGCGACCCGAUGUACAGACAAUAUGCAUGGGAUUGGCCGCUUCAAUAGCAUCCUUUAUCCUAGUCGGAGGAGAAAUUACCAAACGUAUAGCAUUCCCUCACGCUUGGCGCCAAUGAGUUUUUUUUUUUAUUUUAGAGAAAAAAUACUAUACAUUCGCCCUCGGAAAUAUGAAUUAGUUAAGUAAUAAUAGCAUGGCACUUCAAAUUCAAUAUGAAAUUUUUUAGAUUAAAAAAAAUAGAUUAUAUAUUGAAAGAGUAGUAUGGGAUAAGAAAGAGGUAUUUAAAAUGAUAUCUUCCCUAUCCGGGCACAUCUCAGCGUCACAAACUUUGUUUUCACACCGAAAGCUUAUUUACAAAAAAAAAAGACACUUUGGGAUUGCUGAAUCAAAGACGUAUAAAACAAUGAUAUAUAAAGCAACGAAACCAUCAUAGUAUUUUUUUAACUCCUACAAAAUAAAAAAGAAGGAUGGUAAUUGGAUCAUUUAUGGAUCUGCGUAUAAUAGAACAUAUAUUUUGUUUUCUUUCGCCGAAAGGAAAGGUCAAAAACGUAAAUUCCAUUCUAGAGCCGUAUGCAACGCACAAAAAAAGCCUGUACGGUUAUUCAAUUUUCUCUGUUUUUUUGGUUAUCUCGCCUCAUUCUGCAAAAUAGAAAAAGCUUUUCUAUUAUAUCAUCAGGGUAAUGAUUCAUCAACCCGCUAGUUCGUUUUAUGAGGCACAAACGGGAGAAGUUAUCUUGGAAGCGGAAGAACUACUAAAACUUCGCGAAACCAUCACAAGGGUUUAUGUACAAAGAACGAGCAAACCUAUAUGGGUUGUAUCCGAAGAUAUGGAAAGGGAUGUUUUUAUGUCAGAAACAGAAGCCCAAGCUCAUGGAAUUGUUGAUCUUGUAGCGGUUCAAUAAAAAUAGGAGCGAUUUCAUGCAAAUCUACCAUUGCUAAUUUUAUAUAUUUUUAGAUUAAAGGUUUAGUUUCAUAUUCUCUUCAAUAUAUUUUUUUUAUAUUGAAGAGAAUCUUGAAGAGAAGCAAUUCAGAAUUAGCCGGUUAGAACCCAUCUGAACCAGCCCAUUAUUUAUAUGAUUCCGUAUGCCAACCAUUAAACAACUUAUUAGAAAUACAAGACAUCCAAUCCAAAAUUUCACAAAAUCCCCGGCGCUUCGGGAAUGCCCUCAGCGACGAGUAACAUGUACUCAGGUGUAUGUGCGACUCGUUUAGAUCAUAGACUGAAACACAAAAAGGAAAUUCUUUUUUAAAUAUCAAGGAUCAGUACCUGUUAAUAAAAUAGAAUGGAGGAACUCGAUUCAUUAUUUCAAAAAGAUAGAUCAUUCAUAUCUUCGAUUGUGUCUGAAACUUAUGGUUUACAUUGGUGCAAAUUCAAUCAACUCCAUUUUUUAGAAAACACCCAAUGAUAACAAAUGGUUAUCAAUUAAGCGGGGGAAAUCCCAUUUUUUAUUAAAAAGGUUCCACUCUUGAAAGAAAAAAACGGACUAACAGGGUAAAUGAUCAAAUCAAUUUUAAAAUAAAAUACCGUUACUGUAUAAAGUGGAUCUAAUUGUGAAAGACCUAUUACUGGAAUAUUAAUGGGGUAGAGCCAAAGAAUGUGAAUUGUACAAGCUACCAAUAGUAUUGAUUAAAAGAAGGAGCUCCGGUGUAUAGAGAGGACCUCACCGUUGUAGAAGUAACCAUAGAAACGAAUGAACCCACUAUUUAUCCAUUUCUAUUUGCUACUUUUUGUAGUUAUUAUAUUUUUUUUUAUAUCAAGUACCAAGAAAAUUUAUCAUUUCAAAGCAAAGGAAAAUACCUAGACAAAAAUAGUGGUGGGGAAGGUUAGAGUAGCAAAAGCCAUUGGAAUUUUUUUUUAUACAUUGGAAUAAUUCGUUUGGUUAUUAAUGACUAGUAAAGGGGGAAAUAAUAACUAAAAAAAGAAUUAGUUAUUCAUCAAAUUUUGAUUUAUUCAAUGACUAGAAUUAAACGCGGAUAUAUAGCUCGGAGGCAUAGAACAAAACUUCGUUUAUUUGCAUCAACCUUUCAAGAGGCUCAUUCCCGACUUACACGAACUAUGACUCAACAGAGAAUAAGAGCUUUAGUUUUGGCUAGUCGGGAUAGGGGUAAAAGAAAAAGAGAUUUUCGUCGUUUAUGGAUCACUCGAAUAAAUGCUGUAAUUCACGAAAUGGAGGUAUUCUAUAGUUAUAACUGAUUCAUACACAAUCUGUACAAGAAGCAAUUACUUCUUAAUCGAAAAAUACUUGCACAAAUAGCUCUAUUAAAUAGGAGUUGUCUUUAUACGAUUUCAAAUGAGAUAACAAAAUGAGGGGAUUGGAAGAAAUCCACUAAAAUAUUUGAAAUAGAGUUCUUAAGGAGAAUAAGCUCGGGGAGGGUAGAGUAGAAAUUAGUAUUAUAAAAAAAUCGUCAAAACAAAACGAGGGGUAUAUAGUCGCUAAAAAAUGACUUAUUCUUUUUCUUUUCGACUAUUCUUUUUUUUUUAUGACAGACACAGACGUAACAAUCAAAUUUUGAUUCUUGAUUGGAUUUGUCGAACAAAAUAUUAACCGUUUUUUUAAUUCCUUCAGAUUAGUUAUUCAAUUGAAGAAUAAGUCUAUUUUUUCUGGUUCUAAGGCUAGUAGUUCUAGGGGUCGACUCACUUUUCAAAUUGUUUCUGAUUAUUAAGAAAAGGUAACAAAGAUAAAAUACGAGCUUGUUUUAUAGCAAUAGUAAUUAAUCAUUGUUGUUUUAAAGUUACUCUAUUCACCCGUCUAGAUAAUAUUUUUCCUUGUUCACUAAUAAAUCAACUAAUUAAACUCAUGUUUCUAUAAUCAAUUCGAUCCCCCGAUUGGAUCGGGGGCAAACGCCGACGAAAAGAUCGCUUGGAUUUAGUAAAAGGUCGCUUAGAUUUAUUCAUAAUUUUUUAUUCCUUACCUAUAAAAUACUAUUUUGAUCGGAUCAAAAUAAAAAAGAUUUCUAUUUCUAUAUAGGAUAGAGUUUCUAUAUAGAAUUAAGAAUAUAAGAUUUGAUUUAUUUCUAUUAUUUUAUUUGUUUAUAUUCAAAAUAAAAAAGAUUUCUAUUUCUAUAUAGGAUAGAGUUUCUAUAUAGAAUUAAGAAUAUAAGAUUUGAUUUAUUUCUAUUAUUUUAUUUGUUUAUAUUUAUAUAUAUGUAAUAAUACAUAGAUACUCUCAUUAUUCCUGUUCUUAAAAUAAAAUUUGACAUACAAGCACUCAAUUUUAUCUAUUUCUUGAAUUCCCCAUGAAUUGUAUGUUUAUAACAAUAGGGACAGAAUUUUCUUAGUUCCAAUAGACUAGGAGUGUUAUGCCGAUUUUUUUGAGUAAUAUAUCUCGAAAUUCCAGCUGAUUCUUUCUUAAUAUCAUCUCGAACACAACUGGUACAUUCCAACAUAAUUGUUACUCGAACAUCUUUACCUUUGGCCGUGAUUCACCUCCAAUUUAUGAUUCACCCCCAAUUUUCUAUUUUAAUUUUAGGGUCCAUAAAGAACAAGAACCAAAAAAAUAGAAGCUGUUAAUUAAAAAAAAAUGUCUUAAAUAUUUCGUUGCAAUGAAUAUUAAUUAGUAAUUAAAUAAAACGAAAAUAAUAAGUAAUAUAUUUAUUUUUUGAAAACUAUAUCUCAAAUCUUUGUACAAUAUUUUUAUUUAAGUAUCUCGUAGGAUACUAUUUCCCUAGCAACACCUUUUUUUUUAAUUGGAUCCUGAACCCUCGUUUUUAUGACCUUUCGGCCCCCCCCCCUUUUUUCUAUUUAUGUAAAUUUGAAAUUGAUAGGAUUUGCCUAAAAAAAGUAAUUUUUUUAAUUAUACUUAUAUAUAUGUUUGUUAUCUGAUAUGAAACAAAAAAAAAAGAAGGAUGUGGAAAACAAGAUAGGAAUUGUUUACAAUGACACUGUAAACCAAUCGAAAGGGAUGUAGCGCAGCUUGGUAGCGCGUUUGUUUUGGGUACAAAAUGUCACGGGUUCAAAUCAUGUCAUCCCUACCUAUUACUGCUCUUCUAAGCAGUAACGAGGAAUCUAUUUUAGAUUUAUCUUUUUUUUUUAAAUAAAAUUGGACAUACAUAUAACUCUGAAAUUUAUGAUAUACUAUGAUAUAGUAUAUAGUAUAUACGUACAAAAUUGUUUCGAGUUAAAGAAUGUCCUCUUUCUAGCAUUUUCGUUUUUUUUAAUAAAAAACAAGAAAAGCGCUCUUAGUUCAGUUCGGUAGAACGUGGGUCUCCAAAACCCAAUGUCGUAGGUUCAAAUCCUACAGAGCGUGAUGUCACUCUUGUUUAUUAGAUUGUUUUCUUCCUGCUCCUAGAGAUCAGUUUUGGAUAUUGGAUUGGUUCUAUGUUCAGUUUUGUUUUAACAAUCGUCAGUGUUUUUUUCUCAACUAUUUUACAUUCUGUCUUUUAUAAACUUUGCACGUUGCAGCAUAUUCAAUUAUUUUAUCAUUUUUGUGAUUUCUCUUCUUUUUUGUCAUCUUGUGAUUUCUUUUGAAAGGGCUACUGAAUAGCAAGAAUAUCUUUCUUGGUUUAUUUACCAAAUCAACAUGUUUUAAAUUAUAUAUAGGUCGAAUAACAGAUUCCUUUAUAUAAAAAGUAUAAUAUCUUCAGAACACAAAAUUCAAAAUUGAUCUAUGAAAACGUCCAAAGUAAAAGACAUUUGAAGAGUUGGACGGCAAUGUAUUUUCCAUAUUAUAGUUUUUUUGGAAGAUGGAUGUGUGUUUAUAAAGCAAGUAGAUAUCAAUUUGCCGGUGGAACUGAAGAUCGAUUUUUUUUAGUUUGAUUUAAGUACAUAGGUUCGAGUGUAUAUAUAUAUGUAAUUCCACAUUUAGUAAUGCUUUGCAAUACAUGAAUUUCUUUAUGUAUAUUUAAGCACAAUGAUCAUGGGAACUAACACUGUAAACUGUUGCAAGAGAAACAUAACAGCUACACAAACCUUGCAAUAAAAAAUGAAUUUGAUAAAAAUGUUACUAAUCACAUUGCCCGUCUAAAAAAGAAGAAGAUAGUUUUAAUAAAAUGUCAGUAAAAUCUUCUCGUUCUAUGCUUAUUGGUACUGAUUCUAGCAUUCUUAUUAAAAUUAAGAGUUAUUAUUGGUUUGAUAAUGUCUAAUAACAUAUACAAUCCAUUGUUAUUCAAAAAAUUUAAUUUUUAAUGAUUCUAUAAUUCUAUCAAAUUCUAAUGUUAUUGAAUUGGAAUUCUUAACCAUUUAACUUACAAAACAAAAUUUUCAAAAUAAUGCAUACAUAUUCAAGAUUUUUAAAAUCAUUAUAAUAAAAUAGUUUCAUUGACUUUUUAAUAUAGAGCCAUUUUAAUACUCUUUACAAAUUUAACAAAUCUGUUGAUUUUAAGACACUCUAACUAAAUUCAAUUCACACUAUGUCUCCAAAUUAUAAUAGAACUCAAGUAUCAUCUACAAAUAUUGCAAUGUAAUACAUGGAGAAUUAACAUCCGACAAUCAAUUUUACUACAAACCAUACUACUUUAACAUAACAAAGUAAUCAUUUUUUAUUCCCAUACGCAGUACGGGGUAGUAUACUAGUAUUGAAUAAUUGAGAAGCCAUUAACUAUUAUGUAUAUAAUUAGGCGCAAGCGCAUAAAUAAAAACAAUAACUUUUGUUUUUACAAUCAUUUUAUGGUAAGUAAAUCUAAACAAUUAUUUUUAUUUAUUUUGUAUGGUAUAAAAUUAAAUUUAAAUAAUGUUAAGGACAUCAAAAUGCUAUUCUAUUACUCAACCUUGAGAUGGUUUGGGAAUCCAGACCAAAAUAGAAAAACCAACAAAAACUAUAUUCCUAUGAAAAGCUCGAGCAGUCUUGGCUAACGUGUCUGCUAUCCGGUUGUGUGCUCUCGGUAUGUGCAUGAUCUUAAAGUCCUGGAAUUUUCCAUGAAUUAGUGAUAGCUCUCCUAGUUUUGUUGAGAAGCUUGGCCGAGAUGACGGAUCCCGAAUCAUUGAAAUGAUAUCCUGGAAGUCUGUUCCGAAUUUCUGGCAUGUUGUGUGGUGAAGCAUAUUCUCUAUGGACCAAAUAAGAGCAUCUAAUUCUGAAUGCAAAUGUGAUAAUCGUCUCCCUUUUUUUUCGCAACCCUAGGAGUUGUUGUUUUCCAAAUCGUUUAGCAAUACCCAACCAUACCCACUAUAUUGUGAUUCCGAAGACCAUGAUCCAUCUACCAAACAAAUACUCUGGAUAUGACUUGUGCAUUUUUGUGUAUGCUAUGGUGGUUAUGCAUUUUCUGAAGUUCUUUAGUUAGCAUCAAACUUAUGCUAGCCCGAAUUACCCUAGAGCUAAUCGUCUCUCUCAAAUAAGAGAUCGGAUUGUAGUAUUUAGGGAUCAAAUCCACAGGGAGUGUGGACACACAAUAGACUAUGAGAAAUCAGAGUUUAGGUAGGUAAUAAAUAUAAAAGCAGUAAAUUAAUAAAGCAAUAAAUAUAUGUUGUAAGUAAUAUGGGAUAAGCUCUAGACUUAGGGUUUCAGGUAAUCAAAACUAUGAGUUAUAGAUGCUAAGGAUGUGUGAUUUACCAUCCUAGAACUCGAAUGCAAUAGUAAGAUAUCCAACUCUCUCUGUGAGUCUAAUCAGAUGUCUAAAUCCUAUAUUCCAACUCCUGCAUGCGAAUAAGGAACGAGUGUCAAUCGAUACUACAGAUUUUUGAUCGAUACUACAGAGUGUCAAUCGAUACUUAUUUUGACAAGCAUUAACGCUCAAAUCGAUAUGUUCAUUAAAGUAAUUAAACUAGCUCUCGCAUGCGCCUAACAACCUAGCUCAGCAUAAUUAUAUUCAAGUAAUGAACUCACUUUCCUGGUUGUUAAUUAUCCUAAAUCCAAGGUUCUAGUUAGCUAAUCUAGAACACAAGCAGUUAGAUCAAUUAUGUGAAUGAUCAAAUUAAAUCACCCUAGCAGUUCUAUGUUUCAAUAAUUCAUCAAAACUCUAAUAAACCAUAAAUCUAACAUGAUGAUUACUCAUACAUAAUUAAGCAAGACAUAAAAAAUAACUAAAUGAAUUUCAUAAAUAGAUAGAGUAAUAGAUACUGGAGCUCCAAUACAAAGCUCUGAAAGAGUCUUGAUCUUCUCUCCAAACUAAACACUUCUAAAUAAAUAUGUCUUCUAAAGCGUGUCUGCCUAAACAAUGGCUUAGAAACUAUAUAUACUAGGGGCAUUGCCCCUGUGCAAGCGCGGGGUUGUGGACAGAGUUUUUUUUUCAUCUCAAUAUUUGAUAGGGUUAUUGUAGUUGUGAAUUUUGCGGUUUGGGUUGAUCAUUGUUUUUCAAGUUUUUUAUUGUUAUAGGGUUAGAGUUGUGAUGCUGAACUGUGUAGGUAUUGUUCUCCACUUAUGAAGGACUAAACUGUAUUAGUAAUGUGAUUGAUAUAGUUCGUGGUGUUGCUUGUUGUGUCACUGAGACUUAUUUUUUGUUUGUCUUUUUAAUUUGUUUCUUGUAUUGUUGAGAGUACAUAAAUUAUAUUAAGGUUGUUGAGAGUAUCUUUUGUUUCUGAAUAUUUUUUUUGCAGCUUAGUUGUGUAAGUUGUGUGUAUUAAGUAAUAAUUUUUAUUAUCCUUAUUAUGUUUGUUAUAUGUUUUAUUUUUAUUUUUUAACUUGUUGCUUUUACCAGACAUUUAAAACAAAUACAUGAAGACUUGUAGAAAUAACUAUAAAAUGAGUGACAAUUCUGAGUAUUUGGGCCUUAAUGGGUUUUAAACGAAUUUAUGUAUUUCUCAUAAGAAGACAAUAGCAUUGGCCUGUUGACAUUGAACAUGUAAGAUAUUUUCAUAAGACAAGAGUAGUGAGCAGGUGGAGAUGUUGUUGCCGCCUUUGUGUCUGUUGGGAUUGUCUCUUGUAUCUCUUGGUGUGCAUGUGUUUGUUUCUCUUUUAUUUGAUGAGUAACAUGUAAACAAAAAUCGUUGUUAGUUGUAUUUAUCAGAGUUCAUAACUUGCUAUGCUUUUUUUGUUUAGGUGAUUUCACUGAUCUUGGUUGUCGUCUUCGUCUUCUUCGUAAGCAUCUGCGAAAGUAAGUUUGUAGAUUGUUAAAUAGCUGGCUGUGCAGUUUGUAUUUGUUUAGCUGACUCGAUGUAUGUGUCGUUGAGUUUUAGUUGAGGUGAUUGGUUUGGUAUAUUUGUUUUGAAGUUUAUUUAUAAGAUUAGACAAAAAAAGAGAGAUGAUCAUUAAUGAUUCAUAUUUUUGGGGAUUCUAGUUUUUGGUGUUUUGAUUGUUUGGGUUGUUGUGAUUUCUUUUAAGCUGUAAAAUAAAGGUUUGUACGAAAUUAGUUUGAUGAGUAAGGGAGAUAAAUAGACGACCACAGAUCUUGGGUAUAAAAUAUUUUUGAUCAUUGAUGUUAGCCCAAUAUAUACAGUAAUAUGAAGGGAAUUGUGUGUUGGUUGUUUCUUACGGGUCAAUGAGGAGACGGAUAACGACUCGAACUGUUUCUUUGGUGAGGUCAGAGCCCUAGACAGAACGGAUUUGCCCAUCCACAUCUGCGAGUUUAAAUAUCAGUUAUGAUAUCUAACAAUAAUAUAAACUCAGCUGCAAUAUGAUAAUAUACAUGAGAGUUCAAGGUUUAUGUUCGCAAUCACUUGGAAAUUGUCGAACAGCCUAAUCAUGACUGGAGAUUAAUCUCAGGAGCACCCGUGAUGACUUCAUCAAUAAUGGUUGGUGGGAUGAAUGAGGAAUGGAUGAUCAGUUAUCUUGUACAUUCUUGAGCACCUAGCAACCUCAAAACGAUCGACUUUCACAGUAGAACCGACUUUCAGAGAUGGCUUGUAAUGAUUAGCACGUCCGGCGGGAAUGUACCCAUCAAUCACAGAAUCUGUAAACAAUAUUAUUCAACAAAGAAUAAGGAAAUCAAAUAAAAACAAUUAUGUUAGAUAAGUGUGAUAGAUCGAAGAUUAACAUUGAUUCUGCUAGAGUAUCGUUUCCUGAUGAACAUUAAUUCCUCUCUCUUCUCUCUUCUCUGAAUCUUUUCUUUCUUUUAUUUUAUUUUAUUUUUCCUGAUGAACAUUGAUUCUGCUAGAGUAUCGUUUCUGUUCAUCCCUUUUUCUUUUUUUCUGCAAAGUGUAGGCGAAGAACGAGGUCACAUGAAAUUUUCUACCCCUCGCUUUCAGCUUUGUGGGAUCACCCAUUUGAAUUAAAAUAGUGGGGUCAUAGGAAAUUUUCCUACCCUUCUGCAUCUUAGGAAAUCAUCUCAAUCUUUUCUUUUCUUUUCUUAGAUGCCAAAGUGAGGUGAGAUGUAAACCAUAAACACACAGACUUUUACCUUCUAGACUUGCAGGAGGAAUCUGAUCAAGGGAAGAGGGUGGUAUUGGUUUUAGGAUGAUUCAUUAGUUUAAUCUAUCCCUACUGGUGAAACAAUUGUGAAGAUUAAUCCAAUAUCCAGUUUCUCUUCUGGUUCGGAUUUUGCGUGGAAAGUAUUAUCAACUAAGUUUGCCUUUUCAAAUUAGUGUUGUAGAUACCUCUUCAUAUGUAUGGACUUUCUUAUCAGCCAUAAGGAAAUUGCUAAUUUUAUUGAUUAGACAGAAGAUUCAUCCAGGGUUUGAUGUAAAGGCAUGGAGGAUCCUUAGAUUAUAACUACACCUGCAAUGUCAAAUGUUCUUGUUGUCCAUCCUAGAAUGAAAAUUAUCGAUUUCAUUAUAGAUGAUUCAAAGGAAUGUGAUAUUGAAAUAAUGGAGAACUUCAUUGCACAAGAAGAUAUAUUGUGAUUCAGAACUAGGCCAUAAGGCGGUCCUUACAUCGAAACACAUAUUUUUAGAGCUUUACAAAAAGUGUGAUAUACCAUGGAUUUUACCACUUUUAGACCAUGGUAUAUAUAUAGUUUUAGAGUCUAUUAUAUGUGUUUGGAGUCUGUUUUAGAGUAUUUUCAGGUUCAGGUACGUUCUGGAGAACUUUGGUGAUUUUGGAGUUUUUUGAGGUGCAGAACUGCAUAGAUGCGUUAGAUGUUUAACUAUGGAUGGAAACCUUCCCACGGUGAGAUUUAUCUGAUCUUGUGACACAAGGUAUAGCUUUGAGUUAUAUUUCCAAUGUCACUCGUUUGAGGUCAAUCAGCAUGCUAUAGAAUAAGUUAUGCUUUUUUUUGCUGAAGAGUGGUACGUCUACCUCGCGAGAGGAAGCUGUAGAGAAAAUGAAGGAGUGUCGAUCGACGGCCAACCCUUGGUGUUGAUCGACAGUGAUUCCAGAACAAGAGCCGAGUAUAUUUCAAGAUCGACUUAGGCCUAGAAGCCACCACAAAAUUACCAGAAUGACCCUGGACGAUUUGAAACCCUAUUUAUGUGUCUUCUAAGCCAUUGUUGGCGGCUAAGCUUUUUUACGUUUUCCUCUAUUCAUUGUUCUUAGUUUUGGGGUUGGAGAGAAGAGAGAAAAUCCUUCAGAUUCCUCUUGGAACUCCAUUGGUUUUGGUUUAUUAUUGAUUUUUAUUUCAUCUAUUCAUUCUAUGAUUUCUGUGACAACUAUCAUGUCAGAGUAUAUCCACCUACUACGUUUAGGGAUUUUCAAGGGUUUGAAUGAAAUUAUGAAUUAUAGGAUUGCUAGGUUGUUUUUAUAUUCCUACACCAGGGUAAAUUGUAAUAAUAGGAUCUGGAAAAAUUGGAAAAGAACGAGAGUGUGACUGAUUAUUUGAACCUAGAAUCGUAGGACAAUUGGGAGGCACUAGAGUGUAAUCCCGAAUCGUGUUGGAUUUGAUACCUAGGCGCAUACGAGAGUUGGUCUAGGAAUUUAGUCGAACAUUAUCGAUCUGAGCGUUAAUGCUUAUCUGAGGAAGCAUCGAUAGAUACCUAGUCAAUAGUAUCGAUCGACGCUCAUUCUUUGUUCGCAUGCGAGAGCUGGAACAAAGACUUAGUCAUCUGAUUAGUAAUUUCAUGCAAGAGCUGAAUUACUUAUUUAUUGAAGUCGAGUUCUACAAUCAACCCUAAGCAUCUAUAGAUUAUAGUUCUGAUAACUUAAAUGAAACCCUAAGUCUAGCAACCCAUCCUUCCAUCACAACAAACUCCUGAUUUACUGCUUUAUUAUUGACUGCUUAUACAUUAUUUGAUCUAGCAUAGUCUGAAGCUAAAGUCUAUUGUGUGAGAUAUCGAGUCUCUGUGGAUAUGAUCCUUAACUACUGCAACCGAUCUCUUAUUUGAGAGAGUUUCUCUUGAAGGUUAAUUUGAUCAUAUCAGAGUGGUGCACUAUUAAGUUUGGAUAAUGAGAUGACAUACAUAUCGUAAGGUCGAAGAAGAUGUCGUAUAUUCAGAGCCAAGUAUAACGCAGUUCCAAGCCUUCACUUGGAAAAUUAAUGCUCUUCAAAAUAUAUGUCAUUUUAUAUGACAAUAAGUCACAUGACAUGUGGCUAUCAUAAAGAAUUUGACUCCUCGUCAUACGCAAUAUAACAAUAUUUGUCUAGAUAUAGGGAACAUGAUGAGUCUGUAACUCAUGUUGUUUUUGAAUGUCACCAUGUUUACAAGCAUGGGCCUUAACAGCUAGGUCUUCUAAUUCGAAUAUAUUCCUUGUCUCCAGUAUAAUAUGGAUUAUAUUGUUUUCUGAAGAACAAUAUUGAAGAUUCAAAACUGGACAAAGAUCAUUAUUUGUGGAUAAUCUGGUAUCUCAUGAAAGAUAAAAUGAUAAAUUGUUCAGAGAGAUUGACUCACUUGAGCCGAUCAGAUAUGCAUGCAUAAGGAGAAUGUAUUGUUAGGCAUGGUUCACGAAAAAUUCACCAGCAGUUAGUUUGAGUCAACCACUACCAACAUUAAUAUCUCAAGCAUUAUGAUUAGAGAAUAUAUGUUUGAUAGAUGAUUUUUGGACCUCCAAAUCGAUCUUUAGUGGCUGGGUUGGAAAUAUACUUCUCGAUAAACCUAACUUAUGGAUACAUAAAAUCAAAGACGAAGGGAAUCUGAUUUGCACUCAGAUAUAGAAAUAUUUGGUUGGAUAAUGGGAAGCAUGUUACAUCACUUACGUGCCAUCAGACUAAAAGGACCUCAUGUAUGAUCGAUUUUCUCAAAAAAGUUGAAAGAGAUAACAGAGCUGCGAAGAAGAUUUCACGAUACUAUACAUACGUCGGAGAUAGAAUGCGAUUAAUAAUUCUUUAGGUAGAACUGCACUGUUAGUUAUUAUAUUUUGAUUUAUCUACCCAACUCAUUUUUUGACUAAUAAAAUAACUUUUUUGUGGUUGACAAAAAAAAAAAAAUUUGUUGUGAGGAAAAAAAUUACAGAAAAUAAUAAAUAUAAAAUACCACUUCUUAGAAAUUAAAAGUAUAAAACUCAACAACAAACGGUUACAAAGUUUGUCUUUUAUUUUACCCUUCUUUAUUAUUUUACAGAAUUUAAUAAUCGGAGCCUGGAAGUUAAUUCUUUUUUUUUUCCACUGAAAUUUUAUUAAACGGGUCAUGGUCCAAACUGGACCAAGCCCAACAUAACAAACAAAUGCCCAAACUACAGGCCCAAAUAUAACAAACUCCUUGGGCCGUAAGCCCAAAAGUAAGAAACCCGUUGAGGAAGGUAUCCACGCGUCCCACCACGUGGACGAACGCCCGGCGUCCUGAAACACACGUCAAGGAGAGAGCAGACCGCCUUCCACCGGCGAAGAGGGGAGACUCGACGGAACUCCGCCGUCAAGUAGAGCCUUACCAAUGAAGAGCAGCUCACUAAGGAACCAUCUUCAUGGUUGUUCAAGUUGCACACCGGAUCUAUGUUUCCAGAAGAACCAAUCGCCUACAAUCGAUCCCACCAUCGUCGAUCUUCCUGCUAGAAAAAACUGUCACCUUUAAUGAUAGGUCGAAGCUCGAAGAUGAACCGGCUCGCGAGGAGGAGAGGAAGCGAUGACAUCGAGGCUGAGGAAAGAGAGGUGAUUGGGCAGAGAAGAACGGAAAACAUUGAUCAACGGAACCGGGAGAACCCCGGAGUAAAGCCGCCGUCGCCAUCGAGAAGAGCGUGACGCGGAGUCAAAAGCCGGACAGCUCCGUCGAAGAAACCGCAAACCACCGGAGGCAAAAGCCGGCUAUACUCGUCGAACUAACCGAGUAUACCAGAGGCAGAGUCGCCAAAAGAAACCGGCGACAGUCAAAGGAGCUUUAUCUCGAUCUCUUCUUCGUGAAGGAUCCUAGAAAGAGAACGAAGAAGAGAGAGAAGCCCAUUUAGCCUGGAAGUUAAUUUAUUGUUGAAGUUUUUUUAGGAAUCUUUUUUUUUAAACGGUAGUCAAAAGAAGAAUCCUGCAUUCUUGCCACAUGUCACUGUUCCGUAAGCCAGCCGUCACUUGAAGUAACCGCUUGUUAAUUUAUUAUGUAGGCGGUCCCCCCCAAGUCAACUCUGGCUUCUUUGCUUCCACUCAAUCUGCUUACGCAACUCAACAAAUACGCAGGCUCGCAUCAGUAAAUACAUACAUGUGUAUACAUACAUAUCUUUAUAGAGAUGCUCAAAUAUCAGAAUCGUGCCUUUUAAGGAAAUUGUAGCUUGCAGAAUCACAUAUGUACUUAUCCCAUCCUAUGUUUUUUUUUUUGCUUUAAGUUUUACUUAUCCCAUCCUAUGUUUCCACAAAUUCUUCUUUUUUUUUUCCUGAACACCCCACAAAUUCUUCAUAUAAUCGUUUUUCUCCACAUCAUCUCUUUUGUCUCUUUUCCCAUAGAUAUUCACCAAUAAUUCUUGCUAAAUUAUUGUGCACCCGAAUAUUCCCAGUUUUUUCUCUAUCUUCUUGUUCUAUAUAAAGAAAUACCACAAUUCUCAUUAUUACACAGCGGAAAUCUCUUUGUCCUGAGUUUAUGUUGAGAAAUACCACAAUUCUCAUUAUUACACAGCGGAAAUCUCUUUGUCCUGAGUUUAUGUUGUAGAUCAGAAUGAGAUUCUUACUGAAAGUUCUUGCCUUUGUGACACUAGUUUUAGUGUUUCUAAUAACAACAGAAUCAGCUCCUGAAUCUGCUCUUAUCACCAAACUUCCUGGCUUCAGUGGCACUUUUCCUUCAAAACACUACUCCGGGUAAAAAUUGAGUUCUCUGUUUUCUUUCUUUCGAGCUGUAUAUAUUAUAUAGGCCGAAAACUCGAGUAACGUCAUUUGAAACGUGUACAAUGGCCAAAACUGAGUUCUCGUUUAUUAUCAAUUUUGUAGUUUAGAAAACGUUCUAUCUUUUUGCAUUUUUGAGGUUCUAUGUUAUUCUUUGGUUUUGAUGUUAAAGGUACGUCACAAUUGAUAAGGAGCAUGGGAAAAAUCUGUGGUAUUACUUUGUUGAAUCAGAGAUGAAUCCUUCGAAAGAUCCGGUCGUACUCUGGCUCAAUGGUGGUCCAGGUUGCUCAAGCAUGGAUGGAUUUGUAUACGAGCAUGGUCCUUUCAAUUUCGAACCAGCAAAGACAAAUUAUAGUCUCCCACUCCUGCAUCUUAAUCCUUAUAGUUGGUCAAAGGUAAAUUUUCGAAGUUUAUAAAUCGUAUCAAUAUCUACUGUUUCCUUUCCCUAGUUGUAAAUAAUGUUUUCAUGUACGAUUGUUUUCAUUAUCAGGUGUCUAACAUGAUAUACCUUGAUUCACCUGUUGGUGUGGGAUUCUCUUACUCAAAGAACGAAUCUGACUACAUAACCGGUGAUAUGAAAACCGCGGUUGACUCUCACGCGUUCCUUCUCAAGGUAAAUCAAACAAAUAUUUACAUUCAAAGAUUGAACUUAAUUCAAUGAACUCAUAAAUAUACCGUAGUAUAAUUUAUUUUUUAAGAGCUCCUUUUUAAUUAAAUGUUCUGUACUUCUAUUGGAAAAAUAGUUAUAUAUUUUUAAGUUUUUAAAGCUUUUCACAGAAAUUACCAUGAAAACUUUAACAACUAAUGGAAUUUCAAAAAAUAAAAAACAAAUAAAUUUUGAAAAAGAAAAAAAUGAUUUUCAAAUACUCAUUCCAGUAACAAAAGUAACCAAAAGAGUUCUUCAGAAAUUAAAAUUGUUAAGAUAGAAAUGUAUCUCUUUGAAUAACCCACACCCCAAGUAUUUGGGUGUUAUUCAGAUCACUAAAUGCUUCUUCCGGAUGUUACUUACCAGUGGUUCCAGAUGUUUCCCGAGUUUCAGUCAAAUCCGUUUUACAUCUCUGGAGAAUCUUAUGCCGGAGUUUACGUCCCAACUCUGGCUUCAGAAGUUGUCAAAGGUAAUUUACCUUCUCCUUUCAUGUAUAAAUAUAAUCGACCAUACAUCUUCCUGAUCUUUUUCCUCCAUUUUGUUUGGUUAUGUUGCAGGGAACAAAGAAGGGUUAAAGCCGGCUCUUAAUUUAAAGGUAGCAUAGAAAACGAGUUAGGAUUCAGUUUCAUGAAUUCUCGUUUGGUCUCAUACAAGGAUUGGAUGAUCUGUUCUUUUUACGGUACAGGGAUAUUUGGUUGGAAAUGGAGUUGCAGAUUCCAUGUAUGACGGAAACGCUCUUAUCCCGUUUGCACACGGGAUGGGCCUGAUCUCUGAUCAGCUCUUUGAGGUUUUCUCAAUGGAUUCUUACUUGUUCUUCCACUCUUUUUUCUGGUUAAUAAAUCUAACACCUAGGGAGAAAACCCGCAGCACGUUACAAAAGCUUGCAAUGGAAAUUUCUACGACAAUUUUAGCCCUGAUUGCGAGGAACAGAUGGCUAAAGUUUCAAUGGUAAAUAUAAUGUUUUCCAAGAUGUUAAUUUAAAGACAUUAAAAAAAUAGAGAAAUUCUCUAUCUAGGGUUAUUGGUUCUAUGAUUUUCAAACCUGUAUUUAAAUCAUGUGUUAUUGGUUUAAUGAUUUAUAAAUUCUAGAUGUCAAAAAAAAAAAAAAAAAAAUCUAUAUCAAAUCAAGUGUUAUUCAAUCGUACGGAUUUACUAAUAAAUUUGAUUUUAUAAUGGAUUUGAAUGAAUUUGUUUGGAUUUUUUUUGUUAAAAAUACAAAGACAUUUAUAAAUACUAUAUGGAUUUCUAAAUCAAUCAAAAUAUAUAAACCAAAAAUUAAAAAAGUUUUUGUCACAAAUAUAAAUCUUAAAAAUAAAAAUGACCAAAACAGACUUAAUUUUUUUAUCAAAAAAGGUAAAUAUACACUUAUAUACCUAGGGUUAAUUAAUCUAGACAUUAGGAUUUAGAGUUAAGGAGUGGAGUUUAGGGUUUAGGGUUUAAAGUUUAGGGUUUAGGGUUUAGACUUUAGGGUUUAGGGUUUAGAGCUGAGGAAUGAAUUUUGGGGAUAGAAUUUCAAAUUUUAAAAAAUAAAAAAAAUUAAAAUUUUCAAAAUAAAAAAUGUUUUUUUGGUUAUUUUAGUUUUUGAGGUCUAAUUUUAUGAUAAAAACUUAAAAAUGUCUAUCUGAGAGAAUUAACCUUAAGAAUAUUGUGUGAUCAAAGUUUUCAUUUUUUUUCAGGAU
This 21315-nucleotide long non-coding RNA is filed under the name Brassica napus (rape). RNAcentral's name for it is "long non-coding RNA (BNAP_LNC015971)". The stretch from base 9254 to 9327 matches the Rfam family "tRNA". Lineage: Eukaryota; Viridiplantae; Streptophyta; Magnoliopsida; Brassicales; Brassicaceae. The record is from RNAcentral.